Non-coding RNA from Condylura cristata (star-nosed mole), 366 nucleotides. The record is from the annotation of a RefSeq genome assembly. Lineage: Eukaryota; Metazoa; Chordata; Mammalia; Eulipotyphla; Talpidae.
AUGGCGCCCUUCAGCCUGCUGUGGGCACUGGUGGUCUUCACCUGCUCUGGAUCCAACGUGGCCCAGAAAGUUAUUCAAGAUCAACCAACUACAACCAUAGAAGAGGGGUCAGAAGUCACCCUGAAGUGUCGCUAUGAAACAAGCCUAAGCACAUACUACCUGUAUUGGUACAAGCAGCUUCCUGAUGGAAAGAUGACUUACAUUAUUCAUCAGUAUUCUUCUUCUGCCAAAUAUGCAAAAAAGUAUCGCUAUUCUAUAAACUUUCAGAAGGCAGACAAAUCCAUCUCCCUCAAAAUUGUGUCCUUACAAUUGGAUGACUCAGCCAGGUACUUCUGUGCCCUCAGGGAUGCACUGUGUCUGAAGUGA